AGUGAACGCUGGCGGUAGGCCUAACACAUGCAAGUCGAACGGCAGCACAGUAAGAGCUUGCUCUUACGGGUGGCGAGUGGCGGACGGGUGAGGUAUACAUCGGACUCUACUUUUUCGUGGGGGAUCACGUAGGGAAACUUACGCUAAUACAGCAUACGACCUACGGGUGAAAGCAGGGGAUAUUCGGACCUUGCGCGAUUGAAUGAGCCGAUGUCGGAUUAGAUAGUUGGCGGGGUAAAGGCCCACCAAGGCGACGAUCCGUAGCUGGUCUGAGAGGAUGAUCAGCCACACGGGAACUGAGACACGGUCCAGAGUCCUACGGGAGGCAGCAGUGGGGAAUAUUGGACAAUAGGCGCAAGCCUGGUCCAGCCAUACCGCGUGGGAGAAGAAGGCCUUCGGGUUGUAAAGCCGUUUUGUUGGGAAAGAAAAGCAUCAGGUUAAUACCCCGCUGUUCUGACGGUACCCAAAGAAUAAGCACCGGCUAACUUCGUG
This 492-nucleotide ribosomal RNA is filed under the name uncultured bacterium. Its description in RNAcentral is "partial 16S ribosomal RNA". It matches the Rfam family "Bacterial small subunit ribosomal RNA", at positions 29 to 507 of the family's 1533-position model. The record is from RNAcentral.